Molecule: transfer-messenger RNA, 358 nt
Filed under: Rubrobacteraceae bacterium
Lineage: Bacteria; Bacillati; Actinomycetota; Rubrobacteria; Rubrobacterales; Rubrobacteraceae
Also listed under: 1 other name
Rfam family: transfer-messenger RNA
About the family: Bacterial tmRNA, also known as 10Sa RNA or SsrA, is named for its dual tRNA and mRNA-like properties. Its role is to liberate the mRNA from a stalled ribosome. To accomplish this part of the tmRNA is used as a reading frame that ends in a translation stop signal.
Source: RNAcentral
GGGGGCGCACAGGCUUCGACGGGAGUGGACAGCGUCCGAUGAGACGAGCCGAGUUUGCUGGAGACUCGCUAAACGCCGGCAGUCUAUAAGACAUGCCAACGAUAACGAAAUGGCUAUGGCCGCUUAAAUAAAAGCAGCCCAUCGGCCCGGGAAGCCCACGUCCCGGCCAACCGGUGUCAUCAAGUGGGAUCACCCUUCGGAACCUGGCUCCGGGUUUAGUAGGGGAAAUUUAACGGGCUAGUCCUCCGUCGCCGCUCCGAUGCGGCGGACAAGGCGAAACUAAAUCGGAUGCGACGCUCGUACAAUCUCACGGACGACGCACUUGCGGACGCGGGUUCGAAUCCCGCCGCCUCCACUG